Molecule: unclassified non-coding RNA, 322 nt
Filed under: uncultured Sphaeropleales
Lineage: Eukaryota; Viridiplantae; Chlorophyta; Chlorophyceae; Sphaeropleales
Description: sequence contains 5.8S rRNA gene, ITS2, 28S rRNA gene
Source: RNAcentral
AACGCAUAUUGCGCUCGCGACCUCGGUCAAGAGCAUGUCUGCCUCAGCGUCGUUUUGACACCUCACUCCCAUACUUUUUUUGAAGUAUAGUUCAUCUGGUCGAGACCAGUUUGACGGGAGUGGAUCUGGCUCCCUCGGCUUUGCAGCCGGGUUGGCCCAAAGAGCGAGGCUAGAGCACGGACCCAUUAUGGGCAUCAACUGGAUAGGUAGACGUGCCUUAGGUACACUACACGAAGUUGCUUGCUUGUGGACUGUGUUGACUGCCGAACAGGAAUUUUCUCAUAUUCGACUGAGCUCAGGCAAGACUACCCACUGAACUUAA